RNAcentral lists this ribosomal RNA (454 nucleotides) under uncultured bacterium. RNAcentral describes it as "bacterial SSU rRNA". It matches the Rfam family "Bacterial small subunit ribosomal RNA", at positions 340 to 786 of the family's 1533-position model. The record is from RNAcentral.
UACGGAAGGCAGCAGUGGGGAAUAUUGCACAAUGGGCGCAAGCCUGAUGCAGCCAUGCCGCGUGUAUGAAGAAGGCCUUCGGGUUGUAAAGUACUUUCAGUCGUGAGGAAGGUGUUAAGGUUAAUAACCUUAGCAAUUGACGUUAGCGACAGAAGAAGCACCGGCUAACUCCGUGCCAGCAGCCGCGGUAAUACGGAGGGUGCGAGCGUUAAUCGGAAUUACUGGGCGUAAAGGGCACGCAGGCGGUUAAUUAAGUUGGAUGUGAAAUCCCCGGGCUUAACCUGGGAAUGGCAUUCAAGACUGGUUAGCUAGAGUCUUGUAGAGGGGGUAGAAUUCCAUGUGUAGCGGUGAAAUGCGUAGAGAUGUGGAGGAAUACCGGUGGCGAAGGCGGCCUCCUGGGACAAAGACUGACGCUCAUGUGCGAAAGCGUGGGGAGCAAACAGGAUUAGAUACC